GGGGACGUAGCCUAGCAUAGAAGGAAGCAAACCAAUGCUUCCGCUCUAGAAAGGCAUGGCGACAGGCUCCAGACCUGUAGAUCGCCGGUUCAAGUCCGGCCGUCCCCACCA
Molecule: transfer RNA, 111 nt
Filed under: Nitrososphaerota archaeon
Lineage: Archaea; Thermoproteati; Nitrososphaerota
Description: Thaumarchaeota archaeon tRNA-Trp
Rfam family: tRNA
About the family: Transfer RNA (tRNA) molecules are approximately 80 nucleotides in length. Their secondary structure includes four short double-helical elements and three loops (D, anti-codon, and T loops). Further hydrogen bonds mediate the characteristic L-shaped molecular structure. tRNAs have two regions of fundamental functional importance: the anti-codon, which is responsible for specific mRNA codon recognition, and the 3' end, to which the tRNAs corresponding amino acid is attached (by aminoacyl-tRNA synthetases). tRNAs cope with the degeneracy of the genetic code in two manners: having more than one tRNA (with a specific anti-codon) for a particular amino acid; and 'wobble' base-pairing, i.e. permitting non-standard base-pairing at the 3rd anti-codon position.
Source: RNAcentral